GACAGAGGGUGCAAACGUUGCUCGGAAUCAUUGGGCGUAAAGGGCGUGUAGGCGGGAAGGAAAGUCAGAUGUGAAAUCCCCAGGCUCAACCUGGGAACUGCAUUUGAAACUCCCUUUCUUGAGUACCGGAGAGGAAAGUGGAAUUCCUGGUGUAGAGGUGAAAUUCGUAGAUAUCAGGAGGAACACCAGUGGCGAAGGCGGCUUUCUGGACGGUAACUGACGCUGAGACGCGAAAGCGUGGGGAGCAAACAGG
Molecule: ribosomal RNA, 253 nt
Filed under: uncultured bacterium
Lineage: Bacteria
Description: partial 16S ribosomal RNA
Rfam family: Bacterial small subunit ribosomal RNA
Source: RNAcentral